UUUGUCUUAUGYUCAUGUGAAUCUCMUUCGACGAGUCGAGUUGUUUGGGAAUGCAGCUCUAAAUGGGUGGUAAAUUCCAUCUAAAGCUAAAUACUGGCAAGAGACCGAUAGCGCACAAGUAGAGUGAUCGAAAGAUGAAAAGAACUCUGAACAGAGAGUCAAAUAGUACGUGAAAUUGUUGAAAGGGAAGCACUUGCUACCAGACACGCCUGCGGUCGAUCAGCCUUCACUCUGUGAUGGUGCACUCGGCCUGCAUUGGUGGGUCAGCAUCAGUUGUGGCGGCGGGAUAAAGGCCUGGGGAAUGUGGCUUCUCUCGGGAAGUGUUAUAGCCCUGCGGCGCAAUACCGC
This 348-nucleotide ribosomal RNA is filed under the name Pezizomycetes sp. RNAcentral describes it as "eukaryotic LSU rRNA". Lineage: Eukaryota; Fungi; Ascomycota; Pezizomycetes. The record is from RNAcentral.